Non-coding RNA from Felis catus (domestic cat), 84 nucleotides. The record is from Rfam. NCBI's taxonomy places the organism in Eukaryota, Metazoa, Chordata, Mammalia, Carnivora, Felidae.
GCCUGGGUGGCUCAGUUGGUUGAGCGUCUGACUGUAUCUCAGGUCGAGUCUCACACUCUGUGAGUUCGAGCCCCACGUCAGGCU